AACGAACGCUGGCGGCAUGCCUAACACAUGCAAGUCGAACGAGACCUUCGGGUCUAGUGGCGCACGGGUGCGUAACGCGUGGGAAUCUGCCCUUGGGUUCGGAAUAACAGUGAGAAAUUACUGCUAAUACCGGAUGAUGUCGCGAGACCAAAGAUUUAUCGCCCAGGGAUGAGCCCGCGUAGGAUUAGCUAGUUGGUGAG
Molecule: ribosomal RNA, 200 nt
Filed under: uncultured bacterium
Lineage: Bacteria
Description: partial 16S ribosomal RNA
Rfam family: Bacterial small subunit ribosomal RNA
Source: RNAcentral